AACGAACGCUGGCGGCAGGCUUAACACAUGCAAGUCGAGCGCCCCGCCAGGGGAGCGGCAGACGGGUGAGUAACGCGUGGGAACGUACCUUUUGGUUCGGAACAACUCCGGGAAACUGGAGCUAAUACCGGAUAAGCCCUAACGGGGAAAGAUUUAUCGCCGAAAGAUCGGCCCGCGUCUGAUUAGCUAGUUGGUGAGGUAACGGCUCACCAAGGCGACGAUCAGUAGCUGGUCUGAGAGGAUGAUCAGCCACACUGGGACUGAGACACGGCCCAGACUCCUACGGGAGGCAGCAGUGAGGAAUAUUGGACAAUGGGCGCAAGCCUGAUCCAGCCAUGCCGCGUGAGUGAUGAAGGCCUUAGGGUUGUAAAGCUCUUUUGUCCGGGAAGAUAAUGACUGUACCGGAAGAAUAAGCCCCGGCUAACUUCGUG
This 431-nucleotide ribosomal RNA is filed under the name uncultured bacterium. RNAcentral's name for it is "partial 16S ribosomal RNA". It matches the Rfam family "Bacterial small subunit ribosomal RNA", at positions 29 to 507 of the family's 1533-position model. The record is from RNAcentral.